UACGAAGGGGCGAGCGUUGUUCGGAUUUACUGGGCGUAAAGGGCGCGCAGGCGGCUGUUCAAGUCAGGCGUGAAAGCCCCGGGCUUAACCUGGGAACUGCGCUUGUGACUGCCUCACUAGAGUACGGCAGAGGGGGGUGGAAUUCCACGUGUAGCAGUGAAAUGCGUAGAGAUGUGGAGGAACACCGAUGGCGAAGGCAGCCCCCUGGGUUAACACUGACGCUCAUGCACGAAAGCGUGGGGAGCAAACAGGAUUAGAAACCCGAGUAGU
This 270-nucleotide ribosomal RNA is filed under the name uncultured bacterium. RNAcentral describes it as "partial 16S ribosomal RNA". It matches the Rfam family "Bacterial small subunit ribosomal RNA", at positions 524 to 794 of the family's 1533-position model. The record is from RNAcentral.